This 83-nucleotide non-coding RNA is filed under the name Agathobaculum butyriciproducens. Its description in RNAcentral is "Cyclic di-GMP-I riboswitch". It matches the Rfam family "c-di-GMP-I riboswitch aptamer". From Rfam's summary of the family: GEMM was predicted in a large-scale screen for bacterial structured RNA regulatory elements. Genes associated with GEMM are involved in a diverse array of functions, including chemotaxis regulation, signal transduction, secretion and chitin. Lineage: Bacteria; Bacillati; Bacillota; Clostridia; Eubacteriales; Butyricicoccaceae. The record is from RNAcentral.
CAGACAAGGGCACCACCGGUGAAAGCCGGUCUCGCAAAGCCAAGGGCCUAAACGGAAGGUAUUCCGCAUGGCAGCCGGUUUCC